Molecule: ribosomal RNA, 484 nt
Filed under: uncultured bacterium
Lineage: Bacteria
Description: partial 16S ribosomal RNA
Rfam family: Bacterial small subunit ribosomal RNA
Source: RNAcentral
AUUGAACGCUGGCGGCAGGCCUAACACAUGCAAGUCGAGCGGAUGAAGGGAGCUUUCUCCUGGAUUCAGCGGCGGACGGGUGAGUAAUGCCUAUGAAUCUGCCUGGUAGUGGGGGAUAACGUCCGGAAACGGGCGCUAAUACCGCAUACGUCCUGAGGGAGAAAGUGGGGGAUCUUCGGACCUCACGCUAUCAGAUGAGCCUAGGUCGGAUUAGCUAGUUGGUGGGGUAAAGGCCUACCAAGGCGACGAUCCGUAACUGGUCUGAGAGGAUGAUCAGUCACACUGGAACUGAGACACGGUCCAGACUCCUACGGGAGGCAGCAGUGGGGAAUAUUGGACAAUGGGCGAAAGCCUGAUCCAGCCAUGCCGCGUGUGUGAAGAAGGUCUUCGGAUUGUAAAGCACUUUAAGUUGGGAGGAAGGGCAGUAAGUUAAUACCUUGCUGUUUUGACGUUACCAACAGAAUAAGCACCGGCUAACUUCGUG